This 354-nucleotide ribosomal RNA is filed under the name Klebsiella pneumoniae. RNAcentral describes it as "bacterial SSU rRNA". It matches the Rfam family "Bacterial small subunit ribosomal RNA", at positions 770 to 1125 of the family's 1533-position model. The record is from RNAcentral. Lineage: Bacteria; Pseudomonadati; Pseudomonadota; Gammaproteobacteria; Enterobacterales; Enterobacteriaceae.
AAACAGGAUUAGAUACCCUGGUAGUCCACGCCGUAAACGAUGUCGAUUUGGAGGUUGUGCCCUUGAGGCGUGCUUCCGGAGCUAACGCGUUAAAUCGACGCCUGGGGAGUACGGCCGCAAGGUUAAAACUCAAAUGAAUUGACGGGGGCCCGCACAAGCGGUGGAGCAUGUGGUUUAAUUCGAUGCAACGCGAAGAACCUUACCUGGUCUUGACAUCCACAGAACUUUCCAGAGAUGGAUUGGUGCCUUCGGGAACUGUGAGACAGGUGCUGCAUGGCUGUCGUCAGCUCGUGUUGUGAAAUGUUGGGUUAAGUCCCGCAACGAGCGCAACCCUUAUCCUUUGUUGCCAGCGGU